GCUUCUGGGAAGUAGGGUUUACAGACUCUGACUCUGACCUUUGGACCCGUCAAUGCCAGAGGAAGCAAAAUAAAUGUCAGUGUUCAGAGUAGUUUGGUUUCUUAAUUAAAUGCAUUGAAAAACGGUUGGAAAUAAGAAGUCCUGUGUUCCCUGCACAGGCCCUUGGUUUCCAUCCUCUGUCCACCGCCUGGAGUGCCUUGCUUUCACACUGCAGUUUAAGCCUGAGUUGUAUGACCUGGCUCUGGAAGAAAACCAUCUGGAGUUCCAAUCCUAGCCCUUCCACUUUCUAACUUUGCAACCUAAGAAUGGGAACAAUCAUCCUGGUCCAGCCAGUCCCUGCCUCCCCAGGCUGAUGGGAGGCAUAUGAGGUCAUGUCUGAGAAGGGCUUUGAUCUACCUGGAACAAGCCAUGAGGGUGUCUUUACUCAGUGUACACAACCAAACAACAAGCCAAGGAAAUGUGAUCUUCUGGAGAAGCCACGGGGUGAGGAUUUCAUCUCCUCCAGGUGCCCAAAGCCCUACUUUGCCUUCCUGCAAAGACUUUUGAGCAUCUACCAUGUGCCAGCACGGUAUCCAAUGUCUUAGCACAUUCACGAUCUAGGGAGAGAGCCCACAUGUCCACAAAUUCUGUAACUGUGAUUUUUUUUUUAUGAGGACCCAUCACAUACUGGGAAAACCAUCUCAUAUAACCCUGAGAAGAAGGUAAGAUGACCCCAGUGUCCAGAAAAGAGACAAAGCCCUGAGAAGUGAACUGAUCUGUGCAAGGUCACCUAUGGCCAGUAAACAAUAGAACUGUCUGCCUCCACUUCCAGUCUGAUGGUGGCCACAGCUGCCGGCAUCAGAGGGAAGAACUAACUGGAGGCACCAAGACUCCAUGCAAUGAGAAUGCAGGACCAAGAUCAAGUGGUUCCACCAGGCUUCACACACACGGUGGCCUUAGCCUGGUUUCUCUGCUCAGCUCAUCCGGAGAUCAGUACAAUAAUGAGUUCUUCCAGGUUUUAUGACACAAUAAUUAAUGGUUAUAGAUUACCCUGAAGCCAGAGUGGGCGAAAGAAGUUUCACUGGCCUAGGAAAAUGUUUCCUCCUCCUUUUCUUCCUCUUGACGAUGAUGACAUUGAUGAUGAUGACCAUUUCCAUUUAUUGAGUUUUAAGCAUUGGCCAGAGACUGCUCAUACGUUUUUAAAGUUUAUUUGUUUCUUCAAUGAGUAAGGGAAAUGUGGGUGUGGAGGGAGGAGACAGGGAGGCAGCACCCCAUAGUGUCCAGAUGCCACAAUCCACCCCAGCUUCAGCCAGCCACAGAUCAUUAGUAUCCACAGGCCUGGCAUAAUAAGGGGGGCUCCAUGAACUCAGGUAGGUCACUCUUGCAGAACACUGCAUUAUACCGCUGUGACACCAUCCAGGUCCUUCCAAGCACCAUUUCAAGAAGUCUUCACAAUAACUCUUGGAGAUUUGUAUUAUUAGCCACAGAGUAGCAAUAAGGAAACCCAAGCUCAGAGAAGGGAAGUAAUUGCUCAAGGUCUCACAGCUUGGAAAUGAUGCAGUUGGGCUUUAAGCCAGCUUUGACUAACUCCGAAGACCAAACACUUAGCCAUAAUUUCAGAUGUUCAUUUCAUAAUUCAUAAUUUCAUAUAUGUGUGUCUCCUGCACUGGCUUUUGAGAUGCCAUGGUUACUUUGUCUUCCCCAAAUCUCAAGGGAGAAAUGGUGCAGAACAAUGUAACAUGUGGGCCUCUAAAAAUGACCACAUCAUUUCACAGUGCACUGGUGGGACUUGGAGCAGGCUGCUGUCCACUUGCUAGGAGCAGUGGCCCACUAUGGUCUAUCGACACUUAGCUUCCAUUUUUAUCUCCUUCUGCCCCUUUCUCCUGCAGAGGCCACCAAGCAUUUCCAAGAUACUCCAGUACUCAGGACUCUGGAUAGAAAU
Tupaia belangeri chinensis (Chinese tree shrew) is the source of this 1921-nucleotide long non-coding RNA. RefSeq lists it as uncharacterized. NCBI's taxonomy places the organism in Eukaryota, Metazoa, Chordata, Mammalia, Scandentia, Tupaiidae. The record is from RefSeq and is a predicted model, not a curated record. The transcript is spliced from 2 exons.